RNAcentral lists this unclassified non-coding RNA (201 nucleotides) under Hevea brasiliensis (rubber tree). The record is from RNAcentral. Lineage: Eukaryota; Viridiplantae; Streptophyta; Magnoliopsida; Malpighiales; Euphorbiaceae.
AUCUGGAAAUGCUGUACUUGGAGAUAUUGGUGUUCAUAUACAACAACAGAUCAAAAAGUACUUCAAGGAAAUUGGGGUUACAACUGAUGUUAAAUACAUUGAUCCUACCUACAUGAUCCGUGCUUGCCGUGCAAAUGCAUCAGAUGGAAUUCUCUGUACUGUACUAGGUCAAAAUGCUGUUCAUGGUGCGUUUGCUGGAUA